RNAcentral lists this ribosomal RNA (460 nucleotides) under uncultured bacterium. Its description in RNAcentral is "partial 16S ribosomal RNA". It matches the Rfam family "Bacterial small subunit ribosomal RNA", at positions 338 to 795 of the family's 1533-position model. The record is from RNAcentral.
CCUACGGGAGGCUGCAGUGAGGAAUAUUGGUCAAUGGACGAGAGUCUGAACCAGCCAAGUAGCGUGAAGGAUGACUGCCCUAUGGGUUGUAAACUUCUUUUAUAUGGGAAUAAAAUGUUCCACGUGUGGGCUUUUGUAUGUACCAUAUGAAUAAGGAUCGGCUAACUCCGUGCCAGCAGCCGCGGUAAUACGGAGGAUCCGAGCGUUAUCCGGAUUUAUUGGGUUUAAAGGGAGCGUAGGUGGAUUGUUAAGUCAGUUGUGAAAGUUUGCGGCUCAACCGUAAAAUUGCAGUUGAAACUGGCAGUCUUGUGUACAGUAGAGGUGGGCGGAAUGCGUGGUGUAGCGGUGAAAUGCUUAGAUAUCACGAAGAACUCCGAUUGCGAAGGCAGCUCACUGGACUGCAACUGACACUGAGGCUCGAAAGUGUGGGUAUCAAACAGGAUUAGAUACCCUUGUAGUC